This 253-nucleotide ribosomal RNA is filed under the name uncultured bacterium. RNAcentral's name for it is "partial 16S ribosomal RNA". It matches the Rfam family "Bacterial small subunit ribosomal RNA", at positions 524 to 776 of the family's 1533-position model. The record is from RNAcentral.
UACGUAGGUGGCGAGCGUUGUCCGGAUUUACUGGGCGUAAAGGGAGCGUAGGCGGGCUUUUAAGUGAGAUGUGAAAUACUCGGGCUCAACUCGAGUGCUGUAUUUCAAACUGGAAGUCUAGAGUGCAGGAGAGGAGAAUGGAAUUCCUAGUGUAGCGGUGAAAUGCGUAGAGAUUAGGAAGAACACCAGUGGCGAAGGCGAUUCUCUGGACUGUAACUGACGCUGAGGCUCGAAAGCGUGGGGAGCAAACAGG